Molecule: non-coding RNA, 119 nt
Organism: Thalictrum thalictroides
Lineage: Eukaryota; Viridiplantae; Streptophyta; Magnoliopsida; Ranunculales; Ranunculaceae
Source: the annotation of a GenBank genome assembly
GCUGAUUCAACAGGGGUAACAUGAGAAUACAUGAAGGAGAUAAUAUCAAAGAGUCAUUCUAUUGUAGUAUCAGUGACAGUGUCUUCCAUGUGUUCUCAGGUCGCCCCUGCCGAAUCUUC